AUAGCAACAGCAGCGUAGCUGAACAUCUUACGGAUGGCCCAGGGCUCCAAAGGCUCGUUUCCUAAGUGAGAGAGAGCCUGGCUGAAGCUGUAUUACCAUUCAUUCUCCAGCCUCCGAAGUCUCAAAGCAUCACUUCCACCAUACUCUAACUGUCAAGACAAACACAAAGGCCCAGAAACUGCCAGACUGUCUUCUGAAGUGGCUAUAAUAUUUACACUCCCAUCAGCAGUGUAGAAGGGGUCUCACUAUGUUGUCUGGAGUGCUGUGGUGGAGUGGAGUGGCUAUUCACAGAGCCUGUUCUGCUGGGACACAGAAUCACUUGCUCCAUCUCAUACAUUGAUGAUGAUUAAUUUGUAUGUGUACCUUCCAAAAAAGAUGGUUGUGUUUGAAUGGAGGCCUUCUGGACAGGAAAAUUGCAAAGUACAAUUAACAUUUGAGUCUGUCUGAGUCAUGAAGAAAUGGAGAUUACUGAAAAUAAUUCAUUUUGGUAUCUUCUUACAUCCUGAGAGACUAAUCUUUCCAAGUUCAUCUGAGGCUCCUCUUCUCCAUGACAACCUCAUCCAGGGAUUUCUUCCUGUCCUGGUGUUUUAUGACAUGUGGAAGGGGACUGUAGCAGGUGAUCUCCAAAGUCUCUGGAGACUUACUAAUGUGCAUCCUCAUCUCGCUUGUAAGGAUAAUAGCCUUCCUCCAAACCUCACACACUUUUGGAGGAGAUCACUUUUUUUAAAGUGCAUGGAAAUGUUUUGAAACAGUGAAAUCUAUAAUGAUAGGUUUCAUAAUUCUAACAUCCACACCAUAUGAAUCACAUCCUUCCUGAGAUAAUGAGCACACAAUUGCCUGGAUACCUGAAGGAAUGGAGACAGCGGCAGAAAACACUGCAGAGAGGUGGAAACAUCCGUUAAUAUUUUAAAAUCCCAUUACUGCUACCAACAAUAAUAAUGGAUGCAUAGAAAUAGAUCUGGAUUAGCUGAGCUUGAAACAGUCCAUCUCACACACACACAAAAGAAUUUCAGAUACAGUGAACCCACAUGUUGAAGCUUUCUAGUAUAAUAAAAAUUUCAACUGUUCUGUUGAAUCAUCUGCCUGAUUGGAGGCUACAGAAAAGAUGUCAUCUUAGGAGUGCUUGCUCUGAGUGAGGCUCAUCUUCAAAUCUGAAUGACCACAAGGAGAUUUGAUUAUACAUGUGAACACCUCAGAAGGCACAGCCCACCCAGAAGGCAGACAGAAGAAGCUGCCAGGAAGACUGUGAAAUCUUCAUGCCCAAGGAUCCCUAAAAUUAGGAGCAACAACCACUUGGCUCAGACGGUUUAUGGAGGCAAAGGUUUGGAUGGGAUUAGAGAUUUCUAAAUGUGAGUUCGUGUCCUCUGCCAGACCACCUUACUUCCACCAUUCCUCAGCAAAUCAAGAAAAACAGGAGAAAAGACAUGCCUUUCCAUAAGUUAAAUCUAUUCUGUUUUAAUUCUAUAUUAUAUCUGCUGUACAACUUCUUUUGUUUGUAACACCAUAUUGUUGCUAGUAACUGGAAAUUAAUUUUCACAUGCCUCAGCUUAGAAAAAUAAAAAGCAGCCCUGCAUCAA
This 1577-nucleotide long non-coding RNA is filed under the name Homo sapiens (human). RNAcentral describes it as "long intergenic non-protein coding RNA 635". Lineage: Eukaryota; Metazoa; Chordata; Mammalia; Primates; Hominidae. The record is from RNAcentral.